GAUGAACGCUGGCGGCGUGCCUAAUACAUGCAAGUCGAGCGAACGGACGAGAAGCUUGCUUCUCUGAUGUUAGCGGCGGACGGGUGAGUAACACGUGGAUAACCUACCUAUAAGACUGGGAUAACUUCGGGAAACCGUAGCUAAUACCGGAUAAUAUUUUGAACCGCAUGGUUCAAAAGUGAAAGACGGUCUUGCUGUCACUUAUAGAUGGAUCCGCGCUGCAUUAGCUAGUUGGUAAGGUAACGGCUUACCAAGGCAACGAUGCAUAGCCGACCUGAGAGGGUGAUCGGCCACACUGGAACUGAGACACGGUCCAGACUCCGACGGGAGGCAGCAGUAGGGAAUCUUCCGCAAUGGGCGAAAGCCUGACGGAGCAACGCCGCGUGAGUGAUGAAGGUCUUCGGAUCGUAAAACUCUGUUAUUAGGGAAGAACAUAUGUGUAAGUAACUGUGCACAUCUUGACGGUACCUAAUCAGAAAGCCACGGCUAACUACGU
This 496-nucleotide ribosomal RNA is filed under the name uncultured bacterium. RNAcentral's name for it is "partial 16S ribosomal RNA". It matches the Rfam family "Bacterial small subunit ribosomal RNA", at positions 28 to 506 of the family's 1533-position model. The record is from RNAcentral.